This 74-nucleotide transfer RNA is filed under the name Trichonephila inaurata madagascariensis. Its description in RNAcentral is "tRNA-Asp". It matches the Rfam family "tRNA". From Rfam's summary of the family: Transfer RNA (tRNA) molecules are approximately 80 nucleotides in length. Their secondary structure includes four short double-helical elements and three loops (D, anti-codon, and T loops). The record is from RNAcentral. Lineage: Eukaryota; Metazoa; Arthropoda; Arachnida; Araneae; Nephilidae.
UCCUCCCGGUAGUAUAGUGGUCUGUAUCCCCGCCUGUCACGCGGGAGACCGGGGUUCGAUUCCCCGCCGAGGAG